Molecule: small RNA, 103 nt
Filed under: Vibrio aerogenes
Lineage: Bacteria; Pseudomonadati; Pseudomonadota; Gammaproteobacteria; Vibrionales; Vibrionaceae
Also listed under: 1 other name
Description: Qrr RNA
Rfam family: Qrr RNA
About the family: This family represents a set of small RNAs (the Qrr RNAs) that are thought to be involved in the regulation of quorum sensing in Vibrio species. It is believed that these RNAs, guided by a protein, Hfq, can mediate the destabilisation of the quorum-sensing master regulators LuxR/HapR mRNAs.
Source: RNAcentral
UGACCCUUUUAAGCCGAGGGUCACCUAGCCAACUGACGUUGUUAGUGAACCUAUUUGUUCAUAUUAAUAGCCAAUCACAAGUUUUGUGAUUGGUUUUUUUUUG